GACGGACGCUGGCGGCGUGCCUAAUACAUGCAAGUUGAGCGAUGAAGAUUGGUGCUUGCACCAAUUUGAAGAGCAGCGAACGGGUGAGUAACGCGUGGGGAAUCUGCCUUUGAGCGGGGGACAACAUUUGGAAACGAAUGCUAAUACCGCAUAACAACUUUAAACAUAAGUUUUAAGUUUGAAAGAUGCAAUUGCAUCACUCAAAGAUGAUCCCGCGUUGUAUUAGCUAGUUGGUGAGGUAAAGGCUCACCAAGGCGAUGAUACAUAGCCGACCUGAGAGGGUGAUCGGCCACAUUGGGACUGAGACACGGCCCAAACUCCUACGGGAGGCAGCAGUAGGGAAUCUUCGGCAAUGGACGAAAGUCUGGCCGAGCAACGCCGCGUGAGUGAAGAAGGUUGUCGGAUCGUAAAACUCUGUUGGUAGAGAAGAACGUUGGUGAGAGUGGAAAGCUCAUCAAGUGACGGUAACUACCCAGAAAGGGACGGCUAACUACGUG
Molecule: ribosomal RNA, 497 nt
Filed under: uncultured bacterium
Lineage: Bacteria
Description: partial 16S ribosomal RNA
Rfam family: Bacterial small subunit ribosomal RNA
Source: RNAcentral